ACGGGGCCCGCACAAGCGGAGGAGCAUGUGGUUUAAUUCGAUGAUACGCGAGGAACCUUACCUGGGCUCGAACGUAAGAUGACUGUAGGUGAAAGCUUACAUCUCUUCGGAGCAUUUUUACGAGGUGCUGCAUGGCUGUCGUCAGCUCGUGCCGUGAGGUGUCGGGUUAAGUCCCAUAACGAGCGCAACCCCUACCUUUAGUUGCCAUCAGGUUAAGCUGGGGACUCUAAAGGAACUGCCUACGCAAGUAGUGAGGAAGGCGGGGAUGACGUCAAAUCAGCACGGCCCUUACGUCCAGGGCUACACACGUGCUACAAUGGCCGAUACAGAGGGCAGCUACCUGGUGACAGGAUGCAAAUCUCCAAAGUCGGCCUCAGUUCGGAUCGGAGUCUGCAACCCGACUCCGUGAAGUUGGAUUCGCUAGUAAUCGCGCAUCAGCCAUGGCGCGGUGAAUACGUUCCCGGGCCUU
This 469-nucleotide ribosomal RNA is filed under the name uncultured Sphingobacteriales bacterium. RNAcentral's name for it is "bacterial SSU rRNA". It matches the Rfam family "Bacterial small subunit ribosomal RNA", at positions 916 to 1381 of the family's 1533-position model. Lineage: Bacteria; Pseudomonadati; Bacteroidota; Sphingobacteriia; Sphingobacteriales. The record is from RNAcentral.